RNAcentral lists this long non-coding RNA (3522 nucleotides) under Homo sapiens (human). RNAcentral's name for it is "non-protein coding lnc-DMRTA1-21:1". The record is from RNAcentral. Lineage: Eukaryota; Metazoa; Chordata; Mammalia; Primates; Hominidae.
GCCAAGUGGAAAUGCAUAAUUUAUUGCUGCCACGCAUAAGCUAGUUUAAGGAUCCCAAGGCUUUUUCUUGUUUGCUCAACUAAAAUAUUUCCACAUACGACCUUGUGUACAACCGAGGAAAAAGUGUAGUACAGUCAUAGUCAAUUAAUCAAUCACGUUUCAGUUUAGUUCAGCACAUAUUUAUACAAUGUAUAAAUUUUCUUAUGUGUUUUGAAGGGUACAGAAGUAAUUGAAGACACCGAGAUUUAAAGAAGAAAAAUACUUAAGCAUCAACAUUUGUUUCCAGACUCAUCCUUCACCAAAUAUUUUAGCAUGUUUGCCUUGCCCAGUUAAGAGUAUUUUGGCCACAUUUCCCAACUCUAAGUCCUGGAAUGUUUCUGCCCACUUCUUAGCCCUGUAAACAUUUCCUUCAAUACAUGAUUCCAGGGUGUUUUCCCCAGCUGGUGAAUAGAUUCAUUUACUGCAUUUCGUAUAUACACUUCAUAAAAAUGUAUUAUAAAACUUAUCAUGGAAUGUGGUUGUUAUUGGUUUAGGUAAAAGUGUCAUCCAGUAAACUGUGAGUUCCUGGGCCUGAGAAAGAUGUCUUAUUCUGCUCAAGAAAUAGAAAGUGUGUUAGUAUUGAAAUAGUAAACACUGUGAGAAUUGAAAAGGAAAUUAUAAGGUUGUAAAUAUAUGCAGAAAAAUGUACAGAACAAUGAUUCUUAAACUUUAGUAUCUACCCCUCUAUGCCUUGGUUUUCUUAUCUCUAAAAAAUGUAUUAAUGAUAUAAUUUAUAUAAUUAUAAGAAUAAAAUGAGUUAAAACAAGAAAUUAAGUCAAAAAGUGGUCUGGAACUAGUUGAAGAGUUAAAACUUGAAAGAGAACAGUACUAACACAUGGGAAGUGUUCAAAAAGUAUAACAAUAAUAUAAUAGUGGUGAUGGUGGUGAUGAUGAUGAUGGUGAUAAUGAUGAUGGUAUCUGUAAAUUCUUUAGGAAAGUGGUUAACAAAUUAUUUGAGUGGGUGAAUAUUGACAGAAUUUAGUUUAGUUUUAGCUUCUGUUCUGCCAUGAGCUAGCUGUAUAACUUGGGUAAAAUAGUACACUUCUAAAUCUUAGGAUUUCUAUCUGUAAAAUGAGAGGUUUGGAAAAUGCUUUUGCUAAGGUUUCUUCCCAACUUAAUGUCUUUUUUUAUUGUAUAAGCAUAUUUCCUGCAUUGAAUGUAGCCCAUUUAUUUGUGAUUUUAAGGUAGAAUAUUGAUCAUCAGAGAUUUCUCCCAAAGUGGAUCAUCACAGAUUUUUAAGUUGUUAUUCUUUAGAGUGGGGCUAGGAUAAAUAAUAGAGCUGUUACUUAAUAUGGAGGCCAAUGGUGUAACAAAACAGGAGGGAGCAGUGAGAAGAAUAGCUUACCUAGUUGAUAAGUUUUCCUCCCACCAGCAGGAAAAAAAAUAAUUAUUUGCUAAUAAUAGCAAAUGUUAGUACAACUGGCACUGCUAGGGCCUGAACUACUACUUUGUUAAAUAAAAUGAGAUUAGCAAACUGACCUCAAAAUUUUCUUUCUGCAAGUUGUCAAAUACCCCACUAUAGGAGAAAAUGUAUUUUUCUGUUAACCAAAUUAGAGUAAGAGCAAUUCCAGAUGAUUAUUAUGAUCUCUACAAAAUCAAUAAAUUGCUUUAUUUCGUUUCCCACUUUUUCUUUGUCUCUAUUCAUCCUUGUCUCUUUCGGAGGGGGGAGUUUAGAGGCUGAUUUCAGCAGAAUACAUGCCUGCAUUGUGAGAGCUACAUAUCUGGCCCACUACUGCUCCCUCUUCUGACCCAGUUUCCUCCCUUCCACAAUAGUUGUGAACUACCAAUUGCCCUCUGUUUCUUUUUUUUUUUUAAUUAAAUUCCUAUAGCUAAUCCAUUUUCAAGACCUGACCAUUCUUUUUUUUUUGAUGUAUCACAACAUCUCCCCCAACCCCCCUCCUAUUUUUCUACUGUAGCCGUUGGCUUUCAGUUCAGGUCACUAAUAUAUCACUUACAGUUUUCUGCACUGGUCUUAGUUCAAUUCAGUUUAGUAAGCAUUCAGUGACUACCUACUGUAAACAAACCUGCAUAUUGGCCAAAAUAAGCUAACUGACAAAUAGCACAACAUAAGCCCACUGUGGUUUCUACCUAGGGUUCCUCAAUCAUUACAUUUUGUCUCUAAGGGGACCGUUAGAAAUAUUCCAUUCAAGCACAUUCAAAUAGGGCUUUGUGAGGUGAUGAAAAUACUCUGCAUGUGUGACUACUGAGCACUUGAAAUGUGUCUAAUACCACUGCUGCACUAAAUUUUUAAUUUAAUUUUAAUGUAAAUAGCUAUACUACUGGCAAAUCUAAUAUGGAUUUUAUACCUGAGGAAACACACCUAAAAGGUUAAAGUUACUAGUCCAAGAUCACAUGGCUAUAAAACUUCUCAGUCAUGGUACACUUUCUUUUUCUUUCUAUACACACACCGAGAGAGAGAGAGAGAGAGAGAGAGAGAGAGAGAGAGAGAGAGAGAGAGAGAAAUAGUGAGAGACCGAUGUUGCAGCUUGAGUCUGAAGGCAGGCUGGAGGCAGAAUGGGGACUUGUCUUUUUCUGUUAAGGUUUUUGACAGAUUGGAUGAGGGCCACUCACAUUAUGAAGGAUAAUCCACUUUACUUGAAGUUGAUGAUUUAAAUGUUAAUUUUAUCUAAAAAAUACCUUCAACAGGACAUCUAGUCUAGUGUUUGAUCAACUAUUUGUGUACCAUAGGUUAGCCAAGUUGAUACAUAAUGUUAACCAUCCCAUGCUCCAAAAUUGAGGACUGUUUGGGGAUAUAUUAUCUAAAUGCAAUGAAGCCAUCCAUGCUGCUAUGUCCUAGGAUUUCAGUGAUUUUCUUUGAGUGUGUGGCUUUAUAAAUACGAUAUUGUAAUAUUUCACUUGAAAUUUCUAUUGCAUAGCUAGAGAAAACAUGACACCUCACGAAAGACACAUUGUUAUGAAUAUGGGUAUUCAAUGGGUAUUCACUUAGUCUGCAAUGAUUGUUUCUUUUCAAAAAGUUGCAUUAUCUGGCUUUUGUUUGCAUGACCUAAUAUCACCCUCUAAUUAAGUCAGAAUGACAUAUUAAAAGAGAUUGAAGUAAAUAAAUUAUAUUUGUGAAUAUGACUAUAAUAGGUGUAUGAUUUGCCCUCCCAUCUUCCUCCUGCCCCUAUAAGAAAACAAGACACAGGAAAGAGAACAUCCCCACCUAUGUUUCAGAUCAUCCCCAUUCUUUUUCUAACUCCAUCCCUCUUCAUCACCAAAACAAUUUUCAAACACAAUAAACAGCAUGUGUCUUAAGCAAAGCAAAGUAGAAACACGUUAGGAUUUCUUGGAGUUUCCAUUUUACAGUAUUAAUCUUUUUAUGUAAACUUUUAGCAUCUCUGUAUUUACAGCACUACCAGGUAAAAUAUAAAUGCAUCUGGCUCUUCCUAUGCAUCGGAGUACCCUAUGUCCAGUUUUCAUAUGUCAAGUAUCAGCACCUGCACUAAAUAAAUAAUAAAACGAAUUCAGAGACUCAAUAUUUAU